RNAcentral lists this ribosomal RNA (203 nucleotides) under uncultured bacterium. Its description in RNAcentral is "partial 16S ribosomal RNA". It matches the Rfam family "Bacterial small subunit ribosomal RNA", at positions 1300 to 1500 of the family's 1533-position model. The record is from RNAcentral.
GUAGUCUGCAACUCGACUACAUGAAGCUGGAAUCGCUAGUAAUCGCGAAUCAGCAUGUCGCGGUGAAUACGUUCCCGGGUCUUGUACACACCGCCCGUCACACCAUGGGAGUUGGUAACGCCCGAAGCCAGUGACCCAACCGGAAACGGAGGGAGCUGUCGAAGGUGGGACCGAUAACUGGGGUGAAGUCGUAACAAGGUAAC